RNAcentral lists this non-coding RNA (98 nucleotides) under Paenibacillus tianmuensis. Lineage: Bacteria; Bacillati; Bacillota; Bacilli; Caryophanales; Paenibacillaceae. The record is from RNAcentral.
GAGCGCCGUAUGAUUCGAAAGAAUCACGUACGGUGCGAAGGAGGGCGAAAAGGAGAGCUGACCAAGUCGUGUUGAAGACUCUCCUUAGCUAUUCCUAU